This is a long non-coding RNA of Ictalurus punctatus (channel catfish), 1115 nucleotides long. NCBI's taxonomy places the organism in Eukaryota, Metazoa, Chordata, Actinopteri, Siluriformes, Ictaluridae. The record is from Ensembl.
UGCUGUAAUACCAGUUUGUGGUUAGCCUGUUACUCAUUUGGCAGAUAUUUUUAUCUAAUGAAACGUAUAAUUGCGCUAAACAGAUAAGGGUUACAAUUGUGCUCAUAAAUCCUCUGCUGACAAGUCCUCAGAAGGGAUAUUUUGAAAGAGGACAGCAUGAGUCAUUUAGCAUGAGUCAGGAGAAGACUUACUACAGACUGGGGUGGGGGCAUGUUUCACAGCAAACACACUCAAAAAUGAAAAGAACUGAAAAGCUUAAUUAAUGUCUGUAAUCUUAUCUUGACCUGCCCAAUUCAUCAUUAGGCAAUUAUGCACAGGACGCAUCACAUAAGCACGGCAUCAAGGGUUGUAUCAAGUGUCGCGUCAAGACUUCAAUCGAUUCAUGCUUGGAUGUGUUACAGGUGCAAUUCCAGAUGAGCUACUGGCAGGUGAAAAAGAAAAAGUGCACCUUGAUUUUAAUUUGUUUGAAUGACUCCAGCCUUCAGUUAUCAUUUAAAAUGGACAUUUUCCACUCCAAACUCCAGCAAAGUCCAGCUAAUGAAAUGUGUCCGGCAAACUAUCAUGUAAAGCGCCCAAAAAAACAAAAGAAGGAGAAGCAGCCUGUGACACAGAUGUAUGGCUACCCUGAAAUCUAACAAAAUCAUUAACAAAAAAGGAAAUUCAUUUCAAUUAAUUCAUUUUGUUUUGUUAAUGUUUUUUAAAAAAAAUAAAUUCUGCAGAUAUUAGUUUACUGUAAUACAUGUUUAUGGUUAGUUUUUUUUAUUUAUUGUAAUAUUGGCCUCAACAGCAGCUCGUGACCAUAGAUUUUGCAAUGAAGUAAUUCCAUAAUAAGCAUUUGAGAGUCAACAACAUUCAUUCAUCCAGCAUACAGUCUCGAUCAUUUGGAGUGGUUUUAGACGUGCCUUUGCUCAACUGGGUUUGAGCUAACAUCAUUAAUCAGGGUUGCCAAGAUUCAGCAAAUUUUCCAGCCCAACUACAUUUCACACCCCACACAAAAGAUCUGAAACUAGCCCCGAAAAGAAAAAAAAAUCAGGCACUGGAUAAGGGAGAAAUAUUUAUCUUUUUUUCCCAGCCUUUGCAAGGGAAACUGUGGUGUGCGUGCAUUUCUGAUGUAC